This is a non-coding RNA of Marasmius oreades (fairy-ring Marasmius), 102 nucleotides long. NCBI's taxonomy places the organism in Eukaryota, Fungi, Basidiomycota, Agaricomycetes, Agaricales, Marasmiaceae. The record is from the annotation of a RefSeq genome assembly.
GGGCACAUGGUGUAGUUGGUUAUCACAUCUGCUUAGCAUUAGUAUUGUGGAUCCCCAGGAAUGUUAUGCGGGGGGUGCUGGGUUCAAUUCCCAGUGUGUCCA